This 477-nucleotide ribosomal RNA is filed under the name uncultured anaerobic ammonium-oxidizing bacterium. RNAcentral describes it as "bacterial SSU rRNA". It matches the Rfam family "Bacterial small subunit ribosomal RNA", at positions 365 to 832 of the family's 1533-position model. The record is from RNAcentral.
UUCGCAAUGCCCGAAAGGGUGACGAAGCGACGCCGCGUGUGGGAAGAAGGCCUUCGGGUUGUAAACCACUGUCGGGAGUUAAGAAAUGUAAGGAUAUGAAUAGUAUCCUUACUUGACUAAGGCUCCGGAGGAAGCCACGGCUAACUCUGUGCCAGCAGCCGCGGUAAUACAGAGGCGGCAAGCGUUGUUCGGAAUUAUUGGGCGUAAAGCGCGUGUAGGCGGAUGGGAACGUCGGUCUUUGAAAGCCCCCGGCUCAACCGGGGAAGUGGAGCCGAAACGACCGAUCCGGAGGGACGUAGGGGGACCUGGAACUUCCGGUGGAGCGGUGAAAUGCGUUGAGAUCGGAAGGAACGCCCGUGGCGAAAGCGAGGUCCUGGACGUCUGCUGACGCUGAGACGCGAAAGCCAGGGGAGCGAACGGGAUUAGAUACCCCGGUAGUCCUAGCCCUAAACGAUGGGCACUAAGUAGAGGGGUUUU